RNAcentral lists this ribosomal RNA (825 nucleotides) under uncultured bacterium. RNAcentral's name for it is "bacterial SSU rRNA". It matches the Rfam family "Bacterial small subunit ribosomal RNA", at positions 8 to 853 of the family's 1533-position model. The record is from RNAcentral.
AGAGUUUGAUCCUGGCUCAGGAUUAACGCUGGCGGCGUGCAUGAGACAUGCAAGUCGAACGGACGAGUGGGCUUGCUCACUCGUUAGUGGCGGACGGCUGAGUAACGCGUAGGUGACCUGCCCCGAAGUGGGGAGUAACUGCCCGAAAGGGUGGCUAAUACCGCAUGUGGUGCCACGUUCAUUCGUGUCUCCAAAGCCGCAAGGCGCUUCGGGAGGGGCCUGCGUCCGAUUAGCUCGUUGGUGGGGUAACGGCUCACCAAGGCGACGAUCGGUAGGUGGUCUGAGAGGACGAUCACCCAGACUGGGACUGAGACACGGCCCAGACUCCUACGGGAGGCAGCAGUCGGGAAUUUUGCUCAAUGGGCGCAAGCCUGAAGCAGCAACGCCGCGUGGGGGAUGACGGCCUUCGGGUUGUAAACCUCUUUUCUUGGGGACGAUUAUGACGGUACCCGAGGAAUAAGUCACGGCUAACUACGUGCCAGCAGCCGCGGUAAUACGUAGGUGACGAGCGUUGUCCGGAUUUACUGGGCGUAAAGAGCGCGCAGGCGGUCGUACAAGUCGAGUGUGAAAUCCCCCGGCUCAACUGGGGAACGUCGCUCGAUACUGUUCGACUUGAAGGCGGGAGAGGGAAGCGGAAUUCCCGGUGUAGUGGUGAAAUGCGUAGAUAUCGGGAGGAACACCAGUGGCGAAGGCGGCUUUCUGGCCCGUUCUUGACGCUGAGGCGCGAAAGCUAGGGUAGCAAACGGGAUUAGAUACCCCGGUAGUCCUAGCCGUAAACGAUGGACACUAGGUGUUGGUGGUAUCAACCCCGCCAGUGCCGAAGCU